Molecule: ribosomal RNA, 433 nt
Filed under: uncultured bacterium
Lineage: Bacteria
Description: partial 16S ribosomal RNA
Rfam family: Bacterial small subunit ribosomal RNA
Source: RNAcentral
AACGAACGCUGGCGGCAUGCCUAACACAUGCAAGUCGAACGAGACCUUCGGGCUUAGUGGCGCACGGGUGCGUAACCGGUGGGAACCUGCCCUUAGGUUCGGAAUAACGCCCCGAAAGGGGUGCUAAUACCGGCUCAUGUCCUCGGACCAAAGAUUUAUCGCCUUUGGAUGGGCCUGCGUUGGAUUAGCUAGUUGGUAGGGUAAAAGCCUACCAAGGCGACGUUCCAUAGCUGGUCUGAGAGGAUGAUCAGCCACACUGGGACUGAGACACGGCCCAGACUCCUACGGGAGGCAGCAGUGGGGAAUAUUGGACAGUGGGCGAAAGCCUGAUCCAGCAAUGCCGCGUGAGUGAUGAAGGCCUUAGGGUUGUAAAGCUCUUUUACCCGGGAUGAUAAUGACAGUACCGGGAGAAUAAGCUCCGGCUAACUCCGUG